Long non-coding RNA from Sinocyclocheilus grahami, 341 nucleotides. RefSeq lists it as uncharacterized. The transcript is spliced from 3 exons. NCBI's taxonomy places the organism in Eukaryota, Metazoa, Chordata, Actinopteri, Cypriniformes, Cyprinidae. The record is from RefSeq and is a predicted model, not a curated record.
AAGGACACAUUUUUGCAAUUUCUCUGCAAUAUAUUGGCAGUUUUUUGCAACAUAAGGAGUAUAGUGAGCUUUGUGUAUCUGUAACAUGGAUAUAUUCUGAAUGGCCAUUCAAGACUUCUGAAGCAAAUGUUCUCUCAGACUAGAUUUCUUCACGGACUGCAGAAUAUAAAAUGACUCAACAUAAUGAGUAGUCUGUCAGUGACAGCUGACAAGUCAGACCAUCACUACUCAGGACGGGAGCCAUUUGUCAAAACCUUGCUCAUGUGACAUACAAGUCUUAUGAAACUGGGUGCACUGCUGUGUGUAAAAUGAAGAUAAAAUUAUAUUUGUGUGCCUUGACU